CCUACGGGCGGCAGCAGUGGGGAAUAUUGGACAAUGGGGGGAACCCUGAUCCAGCCAUGCCGCGUGUGUGAAGAAGGCCCUCGGGUUGUAAAGCACUUUCAGUGAGGAAGAACGCCUGGUGGUUAAUACCCAUCAGGAAAGACAUCACUCACAGAAGAAGCACCGGCUAACUCCGUGCCAGCAGCCGCGGUAAUACGGAGGGUGCGAGCGUUAAUCGGAAUUACUGGGCGUAAAGCGCGCGUAGGUGGCUUGAUAAGCCGGUUGUGAAAGCCCCGGGCUCAACCUGGGAACGGCAUCCGGAACUGCCAAGCUAGAGUGCAGGAGAGGAAGGUAGAAUUCCCGGUGUAGCGGUGAAAUGCGUAGAGAUCGGGAGGAAUACCAGUGGCGAAGGCGGCCUUCUGGACUGACACUGACACUGAGGUGCGAAAGCGUGGGUAGCAAACAGGAUUAGAUACCCCUGUAGUC
Molecule: ribosomal RNA, 465 nt
Filed under: Vreelandella stevensii
Lineage: Bacteria; Pseudomonadati; Pseudomonadota; Gammaproteobacteria; Oceanospirillales; Halomonadaceae
Description: partial 16S ribosomal RNA
Rfam family: Bacterial small subunit ribosomal RNA
Source: RNAcentral